This 1040-nucleotide ribosomal RNA is filed under the name uncultured archaeon. RNAcentral's name for it is "bacterial SSU rRNA". It matches the Rfam family "Archaeal small subunit ribosomal RNA", at positions 315 to 1354 of the family's 1478-position model. The record is from RNAcentral.
UCCAGGCCCUACGGGGUGCAGCAGGCGCGAAACCUUUACAAUGCACGCAAGUGUGAUAAGGGGACCCUCAGUGCUCAUGUAUAACAUGGGCUUUUGCCAAGCGUAAAUAGUUUGGCGAAUAAGUGGUGGGUAAGACUGGUGCCAGCCGCCGCGGUAACACCAGCGCCACGAGUGGCAACCACGUUUAUUGGGCCUAAAGCGUCCGUAGUCGGUUUAGUAAAUCUCUUGUGAAAUCGUCGGGCUCAACCCGACGGCAUGCUCGAGACACUGCUUUACUUGAGACCGGGAGGGGUCAGAGGUAUUCCUGAGGGAGCGGUAAAAUGUGAUAAUCUCAGGAGGAUCACCUAUGGCGAAGGCAUCUGACCAGAACGGAUCUGACGAUCAGGGACGAAAGGCUAGGGGAGCGACCCGGAUUAGAUACCCGAGUAGUCCUAGCAGUAAACGCUGCGAGCAAGAUGUUGCGCUUCUUAAGAGGAUGUGCAGUGUCGAAGAGAAGUCAUUAAGCUCGCCGCCUGGGAAGUACGGUCGCAAGACUGAAACUUUAAGGAAUUGGCGGGGGAGCACCACCAGGGGUGCGGCGUGCGGUUUAAUCUAACUCCACACAGAGAACCUUACUAGAAGCGACGGCAGGAAGAAAGUCAUGCUGAAGACAUUACUUGACGAGCCGAGAGGUAGUGCAUGGCCGCCGUCAGCUCGUGCCGUAAGGUGUCCAGUUAAGUCUGGCAACGAGCGAGACCUAUACUUACUAUUGCUAGUAGCUACUUCGGUAGGACUGAGCACUUUGUAAGGACUGCCUUGGAAACAAGGAGGAAGGUGUAGGCAACGGUAGGUCUGUAUGCUCCGAAUCUUCUAGGCUACACGCGCGCAACAAUGGUAAUGACAAUGGGCUGCAACUCCGAAAGGAGAAGCUAAUCCUCUAAACAUUACCUCAGUUCGGAUUGCGGGUUGUAACUCACCCGCAUGACGCCGGAAUCUCUAGUAACCAGAGUUCAUCAAAUUCUGGUGAAUAUGUCCCUGCCCCUUGUACUCACCCGCCCGUC